CAUCACUUGGAACAGCGGGUUGUGGCUCAGGCUGCGCUCAGGUUGCAGCGCCACCACCAGUUGUUCAAACGGCAAGUCUUGG
RNAcentral lists this transfer RNA (82 nucleotides) under Pseudomonas fluorescens. RNAcentral's name for it is "tRNA-Ser". Lineage: Bacteria; Pseudomonadati; Pseudomonadota; Gammaproteobacteria; Pseudomonadales; Pseudomonadaceae. The record is from RNAcentral.